Molecule: non-coding RNA, 146 nt
Filed under: Trichococcus sp.
Lineage: Bacteria; Bacillati; Bacillota; Bacilli; Lactobacillales; Carnobacteriaceae
Description: Lysine sequence
Rfam family: Lysine riboswitch aptamer
About the family: Riboswitches are metabolite binding domains within certain messenger RNAs that serve as precision sensors for their corresponding targets. Allosteric rearrangement of mRNA structure is mediated by ligand binding, and this results in modulation of gene expression. This family includes riboswitches that sense lysine in a number of genes involved in lysine metabolism, including lysC.
Source: RNAcentral
CAAGCAAAAAGAGGUCGCGGCUGGUCAAGAGUACCGCAAGGGAAAGGGACGGUCGCCGAAGCAUGCGAAUGCUGGACCCAGGUUGAACAAAUGUGGGGCUGUUCCCUUGUCGUUGCCCGAUGACACUGGAUUGCGCUUUAGCUUGG